UGCAAGUCGAACGGGAUCUUUUGGACUCGUCUGAAAGUGAGAGUGGCGAACGGGUGAGUAUGGCGUUGGUGACCUGCCCCAGAGAGGGGGACAACCAGUGGAAACGCUGGCUAAUACCCCGGAUGUUAUUGUGUUUAGAAAGCAAUAACUAAAGCUCCGGCGCUCUGGGAGGGGCCUGCGUCCCAUCAGCUUGUUGGUAGGGUAAUGGCCUACCAAGGCUAAGACGGGUAGGGGGCGUGAGAGCGUGGCCCCCCACACUGGUACUGAAACACGGACCAGAUACCUACGGGUAGCAGCAGCAAGGAAUAUUGCCCAAUGGACGAAAGUCUGAGGCAGCAACGCCGCGUGGAGGAUGAAGGCCUUCGGGUUGUAAACUCCUUUUCUGGGGGAAGAGAAAGGACGGUACCCCAGGAAUAAGGCCCGGCUAACUACGUGCCAGCAGCCGCGGUAAAACGUAGGGGUCGAGCGUUAUCCGGAUUUACUGGGCGUAAAGCGCAUGUAGGCGGUUACUUAAGUCGGACGUGAAAGCUCCUGGCUCAACUAGGAGAUGCCGUUCGAAACUAGGUAACUCGAGGAUGGUAGGGGAGAGUGGAAUUCCCGGUGUAGUGGUGAAAUGCGUAGAUAUCGGGAGGAACACCAGUGGCGAAGGCGGCUCUCUGGACCAUUCCUGACGCUGAGAUGCGAAAGCUAGGG
Molecule: ribosomal RNA, 693 nt
Filed under: uncultured bacterium
Lineage: Bacteria
Description: bacterial SSU rRNA
Rfam family: Bacterial small subunit ribosomal RNA
Source: RNAcentral